UACAGAGGUGGCAAGCGUUGUUCGGAAUUACUGGGCGUAAAGGGCGCGUAGGCGGUUCGUCAAGUCCUGUGUGAAAUCCCCCGGCUCAACUGGGGAACUGCACAGGAAACUAGCGGGCUUGAGUUCGGGAGAGGGAAGCGGAAUUCCGGGUGUAGCGGUGAAAUGCGUAGAUAUCCGGAGGAACACCAGUGGCGAAGGCGGUGCUCUGGGCCGGAACUGACGCUGAGGAGCGAAAGCGUGGGGAGCAAACAGG
RNAcentral lists this ribosomal RNA (253 nucleotides) under uncultured bacterium. RNAcentral's name for it is "partial 16S ribosomal RNA". It matches the Rfam family "Bacterial small subunit ribosomal RNA", at positions 524 to 776 of the family's 1533-position model. The record is from RNAcentral.